RNAcentral lists this ribosomal RNA (336 nucleotides) under uncultured bacterium. RNAcentral describes it as "bacterial SSU rRNA". It matches the Rfam family "Bacterial small subunit ribosomal RNA", at positions 335 to 663 of the family's 1533-position model. The record is from RNAcentral.
ACUCCUACGGGAGGCAGCAGUGGGGAAUAUUGCACAAUGGGCGCAAGCCUGAUGCAGCCAUGCCGCGUGUGUGAAGAAGGCCUUCGGGUUGUAAAGCACUUUCAGUCGUGAGGAAGGUAGNGAGUUAAUAGCUGCAUUAUUUGACGUUAGCGACAGAAGAAGCACCGGCUAACUCCGUGCCAGCAGCCGCGGUAAUACGGAGGGUGCGAGCGUUAAUCGGAAUUACUGGGCGUAAAGCGCAUGCAGGUGGUUUGUUAAGUCAGAUGUGAAAGCCCGGGGCUCAACCUCGGAAUUGCAUUUUGAAACUGGCAGACUAGAGUACUGUAGAGGGGGGUG